AGACCCGAAACCCGGUGAUCUAGCCAUGGGCAGGUUGAAGGUUGGGUAACACUAACUGGAGGACCGAACCGACUAAUGUUGAAAAAUUAGCGGAUGACCUGUGGCUGGGGGUGAAAGGCCAAUCAAACCGGGAGAUAGCUGGUUCUCCCCGAAAGCUAUUUAGGUAGCGCCUCGUGAAUUCAUCUCCGGGGGUAGAGCACUGUUUCGGCUAGGGGGCCAUCCCGGCUUACCAACCCGAUGCAAACUGCGAAUACCGGAGAAUGUUAUCACGGGAGACACACGGCGGGUGCUAACGUCCGUCGUGAAGAGGGAAACAACCCAGACCGCCAGCUAAGGUCCCAAAGUCAUGGUUAAGUGGGAAACGAUGUGGGAAGGCCCAGACAGCCAGGAUGUUGGCUUAGAAGCAGCCAUCAUUUAAAGAAAGCGUAAUAGCUCACUGGUC
RNAcentral lists this ribosomal RNA (442 nucleotides) under Salmonella enterica. RNAcentral describes it as "partial 23S ribosomal RNA". It matches the Rfam family "Bacterial large subunit ribosomal RNA", at positions 711 to 1150 of the family's 2925-position model. RNAcentral also lists the same sequence under 4 other names. The record is from RNAcentral. Lineage: Bacteria; Pseudomonadati; Pseudomonadota; Gammaproteobacteria; Enterobacterales; Enterobacteriaceae.